RNAcentral lists this transfer RNA (62 nucleotides) under Dipodomys ordii (Ord's kangaroo rat). It matches the Rfam family "tRNA", at positions 6 to 65 of the family's 71-position model. Rfam says of the family: Transfer RNA (tRNA) molecules are approximately 80 nucleotides in length. Their secondary structure includes four short double-helical elements and three loops (D, anti-codon, and T loops). Further hydrogen bonds mediate the characteristic L-shaped molecular structure. tRNAs have two regions of fundamental functional importance: the anti-codon, which is responsible for specific mRNA codon recognition, and the 3' end, to which the tRNAs corresponding amino acid is attached (by aminoacyl-tRNA synthetases). tRNAs cope with the degeneracy of the genetic code in two manners: having more than one tRNA (with a specific anti-codon) for a particular amino acid; and 'wobble' base-pairing, i.e. permitting non-standard base-pairing at the 3rd anti-codon position. Lineage: Eukaryota; Metazoa; Chordata; Mammalia; Rodentia; Heteromyidae. The record is from Rfam by way of RNAcentral.
UAUGGCUCAAGUGCUAGAGUACCUGCUUAGGAAGCAUGAGGCUCUGAGUUCAAACCUCAGUA